RNAcentral lists this ribosomal RNA (670 nucleotides) under Bjerkandera adusta. Its description in RNAcentral is "eukaryotic LSU rRNA". It matches the Rfam family "Eukaryotic large subunit ribosomal RNA", at positions 1 to 660 of the family's 3401-position model. The record is from RNAcentral. Lineage: Eukaryota; Fungi; Basidiomycota; Agaricomycetes; Polyporales; Phanerochaetaceae.
CAAAUCAGGUAGGACUACCCGCUGAACUUAAGCAUAUCAAUAAGCGGAGGAAAAGAAACUAACAAGGAUUCCCCUAGUAACUGCGAGUGAAGCGGGAAAAGCUCAAAUUUAAAAUCUGGCGGUCUUCGGCCGUCCGAGUUGUAAUCUGGAGAAGCGUUUUCCGCGCCGGACCGUGUACAAGUCUCUUGGAACAGAGCGUCAUAGAGGGUGAGAAUCCCGUCUUUGACACGGACUACCGGUGCUAUGUGAUGCGCUCUCGAUGAGUCGAGUUGUUUGGGAAUGCAGCUCAAAAUGGGUGGUAAAUUCCAUCUAAAGCUAAAUAUUGGCGAGAGACCGAUAGCGAACAAGUACCGUGAGGGAAAGAUGAAAAGCACUUUGGAAAGAGAGUUAAACAGUACGUGAAAUUGCUGAAAGGGAAACGAUUGAAGUCAGUCGCGUGUGCUAGAACUCAGCCUUGCUUUUGCUUGGUGCAUUUUCUAGUGUACGGGCCAGCAUCAGUUUUGGCCGCCGGAAAAAGGCCUUGGGAAUGUGGCACCUUCGGGUGUGUUAUAGCCCUUGGUUGUAUACGGUGGCUGGGACUGAGGAACAUAGCAUGCCUUUACGGCGGGGCUUCGGCCACCUUCAUGCUUUGGAUGCUGGCGUAAUGGCUUUAAACGACCCGUCUUGAAAC